This 388-nucleotide ribosomal RNA is filed under the name uncultured bacterium. RNAcentral's name for it is "bacterial SSU rRNA". It matches the Rfam family "Bacterial small subunit ribosomal RNA", at positions 28 to 417 of the family's 1533-position model. The record is from RNAcentral.
GACGAACGCUGGCGGCGUGCUUAACACAUGCAAGUCGAGCGGUAAGGCCCUUUCGGGGGUACACGAGCGGCGAACGGGUGAGUAACACGUGGGUGACCUGCCCUCAGCUCUGGGAUAAGCCUGGGAAACCGGGUCUAAUACCGGAUAUGACUCCAUGACGCAUGUUGUGGGGUGGAAAGCCUUGUGCGGCUGAGGAUGGGCCCGCGGCCUAUCAGCUUGUUGGUGGGGUGAUGGCCUACCAAGGCGACGACGGGUAGCCGGCCUGAGAGGGCGACCGGCCACACUGGGACUGCGACACGGCCCAGACUCCUACGGGAGGCAGCAGUGGGGAAUCUUGCGCAAUGGGCGAAAGCCUGACGCAGCGACGCCGCGUGAGGGAUGACGGCCU